This 588-nucleotide ribosomal RNA is filed under the name uncultured bacterium. RNAcentral's name for it is "partial 16S ribosomal RNA". It matches the Rfam family "Bacterial small subunit ribosomal RNA", at positions 355 to 1375 of the family's 1533-position model. The record is from RNAcentral.
UGGGGAAUUUUGGACAAUGGGCGAAAGCCUGAUCCAGCAAUGCCGCGUGUGUGAAGAAGGCCUUCGGGUUGUAAAGCACUUUUGUCCGGAAAGAAAUCCUUGGCUCUAAUACAGUCGGGGGAUGACGGUACCGGAAGAAUAAGCACCGGCUAACUACGUGCCAGCAGCCGCGGUAAUACGUAGGGUGCAAGCGUUAAUCGGAAUUACUGGGCGUAAAGCGUGCGCAGGCGGUUUGCUAAGACCGAUGUGAAAUCCCCGGGCUCAACCUGGGAACUGCAUUGGUGACUGGCAGGCUAGAGUAUGGCAGAGGGGGGUAGAAUUCCACGUGUAGCAGUGAAAUGCGUAGAGAUGUGGAGGAAUACCGAUGGCGAAGGCAGCCCCCUGGGCCAAUACUGACGCUCAUGCACGAAAAGCGUGGGGAGCAAAACAGGAUUAGAUACCCCUGGUAGUCCACGCCCUAAACGAUGUCAACUAGUUGUUGGGGAUUCAUUUCCUUAGUAACGUAGCUAACGCGUGAAGUUGACCGCCUGGGGAGUACGGUCGCAAGAUUAAAACUCAAAUGAAUUGACGGGGUCAUAGCUGUUUCCU